This 413-nucleotide ribosomal RNA is filed under the name uncultured microorganism. RNAcentral's name for it is "bacterial SSU rRNA". It matches the Rfam family "Archaeal small subunit ribosomal RNA", at positions 330 to 745 of the family's 1478-position model. The record is from RNAcentral.
GCGCACCAGGCGCGAAUACUCCGCAAUACACGAAAGUGUGACGGGGCCAUCCCGAGUGCCGUCCGCUGAGGACGGCUUUUCCCCAGUGUACACAGCUGGGGGAAUAAGGAGAGGGCAAGCCUGGUGUCAGCCGCCGCGGUAAUACCAGCUCUCCGAGUGGUGGGGACGCUUAUUGGGCCUAAAGCAUCCGUAGCCGGCUGGGCAAGUUCUCCGUUAAAUCCAACGAUUCAAUCGUUGGGCUGCGGGGGAUACUGUCCAGCUUGGGGGCGGGAGAGGCCGACGGUAUUCCCGGGGUAGGGGUGAAAUCCUAUAAUCCCGGGAGGACCACCAGUGGCGAAGGCUGUCGGCUAGAACGCGCCCGACGGUGAGGGAUGAAGGCUGGGGGAGCGAACCGGAUUAGAUACCCCCGUAGU